RNAcentral lists this ribosomal RNA (302 nucleotides) under uncultured bacterium. Its description in RNAcentral is "bacterial SSU rRNA". It matches the Rfam family "Bacterial small subunit ribosomal RNA", at positions 511 to 812 of the family's 1533-position model. The record is from RNAcentral.
GCAGCCGCGGUAAUACGUAGGGUGCGAGCGUUAAUCGGAAUUACUGGGCGUAAAGCGUGCGCAGGCGGUUUGUUAAGACAGUUGUGAAAUCCCCGGGCUCAACCUGGGAACUGCAAUUGUGACUGGCAGGCUAGAGUUUGGCAGAGGGGGGUGGAAUUCCUGGUGUAGCAGUGAAAUGCGUAGAUAUCAGGAGGAACACCGAUGGCGAAGGCAGCCCCCUGGGCCAUGACUGACGCUCAUGCACGAAAGCGUGGGGAGCAAACAGGAUUAGAUACCCUGGUAGUCCACGCCCUAAACGAUGU